AAAGAAAACCAUUAUGUUUAAAGUCUUCAUUACUAAUGAACCUAAAGUUGUGAUUUUUGGAAUAUUCUAUUUGUUAAUAUUUAUGAUGAUGAUCCAUGAGAGAGAAGAAAAGAAACUGUUGAAUAUGAAAUACAGCCAUUGUGCCAUGAAAAAAGAAUCACAUAUAUGGCCAAGGGAGCCAAUGCAAUAAUGAUAUGUGUAUUAAAAUGAUAUGUCUUUGGGUUGUAAUUCAAAUGAAGGUUAUGAUGCCAAAUUGUGUGAGAAAACUCAAUAUGCUUAAGACUCUUAAUUUCUCAUAUGUGUACCUAAAGUAUUGAUUGGAAAUAUCUUAUUGUUGAUAAUCUAUAAAGAUGGUUGGAAGUGAAAUAAGUGACUUGGGGACAUAAAAUGUGGCCAACAUGCCAAGACUGGAAGUUAUACUUAUGGCCAAUGGUGCCAAUGAAAUGAAAUGAUGUGAGAAAGAUUAUGAAAUGAGCUUUGAUUCAACUGUUCUAAAAUUGACUUUGAAAAUAGAAUUGCAUAAAAGCUUAUGAACUCAAGUGAUGCCCAUAUGUGGUUCUUUUAGCUAAUGCUAUGUUUUGUAAGUAUAUUCAAUGUGUUUUGCCUUCUUACAUAUUCGUGAGUGGAAAUUGUGAAUUUCCCUUUUUGGGGGAAAGUAUUUCAAGAAUAAAUGAUGUGUUACUUGUUUAUGAUUUUAGCUUGUGCUUCGAUUGCCAAUCAGUUUACCCCAUUUCUUGGAAUGAAAACCAUUGUGUUUAAAGUCUUCAUUACUAAUGAACCUAAAGUUGUGAUUUUCGGAAUGUUCUAUUUGUUGAUAUAUAUGAUGUUGAUCCAUGAGAGAGAAGAAAUGAAAGUGUGAAAUACGAAAUACAACCAUUGUGCCAUGAAAGAAAAAUCACAUAUAUGGCCUAGGGAGCCAAUGCAAUAAUGAUAUGUGUAUUAAAAUGAUAUGUCUUUGGGUUGUAAUUCAAAUGAAGGUUAUGAUGCCAAAUUGUGUGAGAAAACUCAAUAUGCUUAAGACUCUUAAUUUCUCAAAUGUGUACCUAAAGUAUUGAUUGGAAAUAUGUUAUUGUUGAUAAUCUAUAAAGAUGGUUGGAAGUGAAAUAAGUGACUUGGGGACAUAAAAUGUGGCCAACUUGCCAAGACUGGAAGUUAUACUUAUGGCCAAUGGUGCCAAUGAAAUGAAAUGAUGUGAGAAAGAUUAUGAAAAGAGAUUUGAUUAAACUGUUCUAAAAUUGACUUUGAAAAUAGAAUUGCCUAAAAGCUUAUGAACUCAAAUGAUGCCCAUAUGUGGUUGUUUUAGCUAAUGCUAUGUUUUGUAAGUAUAUUCAAUGUGUUUUGCCUUCUUACAUAUUCGUGAGUGGAAAUUGUGCAUUUCCCUUUUUGGGUAAAAAUAUUUCAAGAAUAAAUGAUGCGUUACUUGUUUAUGAUUUUAGCUCGUGCUUCGAUUGCCAAUCAUUUUACCCCAUUUCUUGGAAAGAAAUCCAUUGUGUUUAAAGUCUUCAUUACUAAUUAACCUAAAGUUAUGAUUUUCGGAAUAUUCUAUUUGUUGAUAUUUAUGAUGAUGAUCCAUGAGAGAGAAGAAUUGAAAGUGUGGAAUAUGAAAUAGAACCAUUGUGCCAUGAAAGAAGAAUCACAUGUAUGGCCGAGGGAGCCAAUGCAAUAAUGAAAUGUGUAUUAAAAUGAUAUGUCUUUGGGUUGUAAUUCAAAUGAAGGUUAUGAUGCCAAAUUGUGUGAGAAAAACUCAAUAUCCUUAAGACUCUUCAUUUCUCAUAUGUGUACCGAAAGUAUUGAUUGGAAAUGUCUUAUUGUUGAUGAUCUAUAAAGAUGGUUGGAAGUGAAAUAAGUGACUUGGUGACAUAAAGUGUGGCCAACGUGCCAAGGCUGGAAGUUAUACUUAUGACCAAUGGAGCCAAUGAAAUGAAAUGAUGUGAGAAAGAUUAUGAAAUGAGAUCUGAUACAACUGUUCUAAAAUUGACUUUGAAAAUAGAAUUGCCUAAAAGCCUAUGAACUCAAGUGAUGUCAAUAAGUGGUUGUUUUAGCUAAUGCUAUGUUUUGUAAGUGUAUUCAAUGUGUUUUGCAUUCUUACAUAUUCGUGAUUGGAAAUUGUGAAUUUCCCUUUUUGGGGAAAAGUAUUUCAAGAAUAAAUGACGUGUUACUUGUGUGAAAAAACUCAAUAUGCUUAAGACUCUUAAUUUCUAAUAUAUGUACCUAAAGUAUUGAUUGGAAAUAUCUUAUUGUUGAUAAUCUAUAACGAUGGUUGGAAGUGAAAUAAGUGACUUGGGGACAUAAAAUGUGGCCAACGUGCCAAGACUGGAAGUUAUACUUAUGGCCAAUGGUGCCAAUGAAACGAAAUGAUGUGAGAAAGAUAAUGAAAUGAGAUUUGAUUCAACUGUUCUAAAAUUGACUUUGAAAAUAGAAUUGCCUAAAAGCUUAGGAACUCAAGUGAUGCACAUAUGUGGUUGAUUUAGCUAAUGCUAUAUUUUGUAAGUAUAUUCAAUUUGUUUUGCAUUCUUACAUAUCUGUGAGUUAAAAUUAUGCAUUGCCCUUUAUGGGGAAAAGUAUUUCAAUAAUAAAUGAUGUGUUACUUGUUUAUGAUUUUAGCUCGUGCUUCGAUUGCCAAUAUUUUUACUCCAUUUCUUGGAAAGAAAUCCAUUGUGUGUAAAGUCUUCAUUACUAAUGAACCUAAAGUUGUGAUUUCCGAAAUAUUCUAUUUGUUGAUAUUUAUGAUGAUGAUCCAUGAGAGAGAAGAAUUGAAAGUGUGGAAUAUGAAAUACAACCAUUGUGCCAUAAAAGAAGAAUCACAUGUAUUAAUAGUAAAUUUCCAAUGUGGAUUUAUAACAAAUCAUUACAAUGUCAUAACUGGCCUUGAAGGCACGAACUCUGCUAUUGCCAAAAAACACAUCUAAUCUCAAGUACUAAACACGAGCCUGGCGGGGCAAACGGCCCGAUCCUUUAGGAAAUGUGAUACUCAAUACUGUCAAGGUGAACGACCUGGUCCUAUAUUAAUAAUUUUACCAUAAUACCGUGGUGAAUGACCCGAUCUCAUAAAAGUAAUUUACAACAAUGUUGAGGUGAACGACCCG
RNAcentral lists this long non-coding RNA (3086 nucleotides) under Nicotiana tabacum (common tobacco). RNAcentral describes it as "long non-coding RNA (NTAB_LNC016252)". The record is from RNAcentral. Lineage: Eukaryota; Viridiplantae; Streptophyta; Magnoliopsida; Solanales; Solanaceae.